RNAcentral lists this ribosomal RNA (497 nucleotides) under uncultured bacterium. RNAcentral describes it as "partial 16S ribosomal RNA". It matches the Rfam family "Bacterial small subunit ribosomal RNA", at positions 28 to 507 of the family's 1533-position model. The record is from RNAcentral.
GAUGAACGCUGGCGGCGUGCCUAAUACAUGCAAGUCGAGCGAACAGAUGAGGAGCUUGCUCCUCUGACGUUAGCGGCGGACGGGUGAGUAACACGUGGAUAACCUGCCUAUAAGACUGGGAUAACUUCGGGAAACCGGAGCUAAUACCGGAUAAUAUAUUGAACCGCAUGGUUCAAUAGUGAAAGACGGUUUUGCUGUCACUUAUAGAUGGAUCCGCGCCGCAUUAGCUAGUUGGUAAGGUAACGGCUUACCAAGGCAACGAUGCGUAGCCGACCUGAGAGGGUGAUCGGCCACACUGGAACUGAGACACGGUCCAGACUCCUACGGGAGGCAGCAGUAGGGAAUCUUCCGCAAUGGGCGAAAGCCUGACGGAGCAACGCCGCGUGAGUGAUGAAGGUCUUCGGAUCGUAAAACUCUGUUAUUGGGGAAGAACAAAUGUGUAAGUAACUAUGCACGUCUUGACGGUACCUAAUCAGAAAGCCACGGCUAACUACGUG